AUUGAACGCUGGCGGCAUGCCUUACACAUGCAAGUCGAACGGCAGCACGGGAGCAAUCCUGGUGGCGAGUGGCGAACGGGUGAGCAAUAUAUCGGAACGUGCCCAGUCGUGGGGGAUAACGCAGCGAAAGCUGUGCUAAUACCGCAUACGAUCUAAGGAUGAAAGCGGGGGAUCGCAAGACCUCGCGCGAUUGGAGCGGCCGAUAUCAGAUUAGCUAGUUGGUGGGGUAAGGGCCCACCAAGGCGACGAUCUGUAGCUGGUCUGAGAGGACGACCAGCCACACUGGAACUGAGACACGGUCCAGACUCCUGCGGGAGGCAGCAGUGGGGAAUUUUGGACAAUGGGCGCAAGCCUGAUCCAGCAAUGCCGCGUGCAGGAUGAAGGCCUUCGGGUUGUAAACUGCUUUUGUACGGAACGAAACGGCCCUUUCUAAUACAGGGGGCUAAUGACGGUACCGUAAGAAUAAGCACCGGCUAACUACGUGCCAGCCGCCGCAGUAA
Molecule: ribosomal RNA, 500 nt
Filed under: uncultured bacterium
Lineage: Bacteria
Description: partial 16S ribosomal RNA
Rfam family: Bacterial small subunit ribosomal RNA
Source: RNAcentral